GCUAGUAAUCGUGGGCUAGUAAUCGUGGAUCAGAAUGCCACGGUGAAUACGUUCCCGGGCCUUGUACACACCGCCCGUCACACCAUGGGAGUGGGUUGCAAAAGAAGUAGGUAGCUUAACCUUCGGGAGGGCGCUUACCACUUUGUGAUUCAUGACUGGGGUGAAGUCGUAACAAGGUAACCGUAGGGGAACCUGCGGUUGGAUCACCUCCUUA
Molecule: ribosomal RNA, 214 nt
Filed under: Salmonella enterica
Lineage: Bacteria; Pseudomonadati; Pseudomonadota; Gammaproteobacteria; Enterobacterales; Enterobacteriaceae
Description: partial 16S ribosomal RNA
Rfam family: Bacterial small subunit ribosomal RNA
Source: RNAcentral